AGUGAACGCUGGCGGUAGGCCUAACACAUGCAAGUCGAACGGCAGCACAGUAAGAGCUUGCUCUUAUGGGUGGCGAGUGGCGGACGGGUGAGGAAUACAUCGGAAUCUACUUUUUCGUGGGGGCUAACGUAGGGAAACUUACGCUAAUACCGCAUACGACCUACGGGUGAAAGCAGGGGAGCUUCGGACCUUGCGCGAUUGAAUGCGCCGAUGUCGGAUUAGCUAGUUGGCGGGGUAAAGGACCACCAAGGCGACGAUCCGUAGCUGGUCUGAGAGGAUGAUCAGCCACACUGGAACUGAGACACGGUCCAGACUCCUACGGGAGGCAGCAGUGGGGAAUAUUGGACAAUGGGCGGAAGCCUGAUCCAGCCAUACCGCGUGGGUGAAGAAGGCCUUCGGGUUGUAAAGCCCUUUUGUUGGGAAAGAAAAGCAGCAGGUUAAUACCCCGCUGUUCUGACGGUACCCAAAGAAUAAGCACCGGCUAACUUCGUG
RNAcentral lists this ribosomal RNA (492 nucleotides) under uncultured bacterium. RNAcentral describes it as "partial 16S ribosomal RNA". It matches the Rfam family "Bacterial small subunit ribosomal RNA", at positions 29 to 507 of the family's 1533-position model. The record is from RNAcentral.